ACUCACUCAACAGCGUCACCGGCCAGCACCACCAUGCCAGGCCUCAGUGAGGAAUCUACCACCAUCUACAGUGGACCAAGCUCAACUGAAACCACAGUGUUUUCUCAUAGCACCACAACCUCCAUUCAUGUUGAACAACCUACAGCCUUCCCUGGUAGCCUAGGCUCCACCGAAAUAGUGUUACCUGUCACCCUUACCACCACAGACCUUGGUGAGGAAUCAACAGCCUUCCACAGUAGCUCAGACGCAACUGUAACAACACCCUUACCUCCCCACUCCACAACCUCAGCCCUCGUUGGCGAAUCUGCAACGUUCUAUAUGAGCCCAUCCACUAGUUACACAACCCUCUUUCCUGCCAGUUCCAGCACAUCAGGCCUCACUGGGGAAUCUACCACCUUCCACACCAGUCCAAGCUUCCCUUUUACAUUUGCGUCUACUGAAAGCCUGCAAACCUUAGUGCCAGGGUCAUGCCAGGAAGGACAAAUCUGGAAUGGAAAACAAUGCGUCUGUCCCCAAGGCUACGUUGGUUACCAGUGCUUGUCCCCUGUGGAAUCCUUCCUUGUAGAAACCCCGGAAAAACUCAAUGCCACUUUAGGUAUGACAGUGAAAGUGACUUACAGAGAUUUCACAGAACAGAUGAAUGACUCAUCCUCCCAGGAAUACCAGAACUUCAAUAGCCUCUUCAAGAAUCGGAUGGAUGUCGUUUUGACAGGCGACGAUCUUCCGCAGUAUAGAGGGGUAAACAUUCGGAGAUUGCUCAACGGUAGCAUCGUGGUCAAGAAUGAUGUCAUCCUGGAGGCAGACUACACUUCAGAGUAUGAAGAACUGUUUGAAACCCUGGUAGAGAUUGUAAAGGCCAAGAUUAUGAAUGAAACCAAAACAGUUCAUGAUCGUGAUCAUGAUUUCUGCAGAGAGGCCAUACUGUGCUAUAGUGAAGAGGACACUUUCGUGGAUUCAUCGGUGACACUGGGCUUUGACUUCCAGGAGCAAUGCACCCAGAAGGCUGCCAAAGAAUAUGCCCAGUUCUACUAUGUGGAUGUCUUGGAUGGGAAGCUGGCCUGUGUGAACAAGUGCACCAAAGGAACGAAGUCCCAAAUGAACUGUAACCUGGGCAUGUGUCAGCUGCAACGCAGUGGCCCCCGUUGCCUGUGCCCAAAUACAGACACACACUGGUACUGGGGAGAGACCUGUGAAUGGAACAUCGCCAAGAGCCUCGUGUAUGGCAUCGUGGGGGCUGUGGUGGCGGUGCUGCUGCUCUCAUUGAUCAUCCUGGUCAUCUUAUUCAGCAUAUCCCAGAGAAAACUGCACAGGCAACAGUAUGAUAUGCCUCAAGAGUGGCGAAACGAAGGCACCCCUGGCACCUUCCAGAAGACGGCCAUCUGGGAAGACCAGAAUCUGAGGGAGAGCAGAUUCGGCCUUGAGAACGCCUACAACAACUUCCGGCCCACCCUGGAGACUGUUGACUCAGGCACAGAGCUCCACAUCCAGAGGCCGGAGAUGGUAGCAUCUGCUGUGUGAGCCAGUGGGGGCCUCCCACCCUCAUCUAUCUCUGGACAGGAGAGCGGCAAACACAGGGCCCACCACAGACUGCAGUCCCCCAGGGUUGGUCAAGAGGAGGCUGAAGUCGGGCCCUGAAGCCGGUCCUGCUCUGAGCUGACAGACUUGGCCUGUCCCGGGCCUGUGCUCCUGCUGGGGGCUAUAAGGCCUUCCAUCCAGGAGCUCCCAGACUCCCAGAAGCCUCAGCACCCCUGUCUCCUCUUGGGUGACACCCCACUCUGGAAUUUCCCUACCAAUAAAAGCAAAUCUUAAAGCUCAGAAUGUGAAGUGAGAGGUUUCCUUCCCCUCCUUCUGCAGUGGGAGUCAGGUGGGGGGUCAGAGUCCUCCCAGGACUGGCUGCUGAAUCGGUCAUGGAACAAAC
Long non-coding RNA from Rhinopithecus bieti (black snub-nosed monkey), 1918 nucleotides. The record is from Ensembl. Lineage: Eukaryota; Metazoa; Chordata; Mammalia; Primates; Cercopithecidae.